This 2857-nucleotide ribosomal RNA is filed under the name Deltaproteobacteria bacterium. RNAcentral describes it as "bacterial LSU rRNA". It matches the Rfam family "Archaeal large subunit ribosomal RNA". The record is from RNAcentral. Lineage: Bacteria; Pseudomonadati; Myxococcota; Myxococcia.
GAUGAAGGUCCUGGCAAGCUGGGAUAAGCCCGGGGUAGCCGCAUGCAGGCUUUGAACCCGGGAUCACCUAAUGGGACAUCCUAGUCUCAGGACUAUUUGCGCGCGGGAUGACUUCGUGUUGUCUGCGCGUGCAAAGAGAUACGCGGGAAAUUGAAACAUCUUAGUACCCGCAGGAAAAGAAAGAAACAUAGGCUGAUGUGGAUUCGUCUGCGUCAGUCUGCUUCGAUGCCGUUAGUAGGGGCGACCGAAAGCGGCACAGAACAAACCGAACCCUCCUGGAAACAGAGAGGGAAUGUGGCGUUAUGGGACUUGCGCUUCUCUUAGCUGGUCGAUCUGAAGUCUUCUGGAAAGAAGCGCUAUAGAGGGUGACAGCCCCGUAAGAGAAGACCAGAAAGAGAAUAGCAAGUAUCCCGAGUAUGAUUGGUUGGAUUUCCAGUCAGAAUUCGGGAGUCAUCCACUCCCAAUUCUAAAUAUUGGUCCAAGUCCGAUAGCGGAUUAGUACCGUGAGGGAAAACUGAAAAGUAUCCGUAAAAGGAGAUGAAAAGAGCCUGAACUCAGAUAGCUAUAGAUAGACGGGUAAGGCCUUUGUUAUGCAAAGGCUAAACCGUCGUCCGUUUCGAAAAACGGGGCAGGGAGUGCAUCUCUGUGGCGAGGCGAAAGCCUAAGCGAAAGCGAUCGUCCGCAGGCAACAACGGACAGCGUAUGAAAGUGCGUUUAGUCACAGGGAUGCGACCAGAAGCCGGGUGAUCUUAUCCUGGGCAGAGUGAAGUCUUGGGAAACCAAGAUGGAAGCUCGCUAGUGUUGCUGGUACAAACCGCUCACGUGACCUGGGAUAAGGGGUGAAAAGCCAAUCGAACCCGGCAAUAGCUGGUUCCUUCCGAAAUGUAUCUCAGUACAGCCUGGUUCUAACAGCUUGUGAGGUAGAGUUACUGAUUAGGUAGUCAAGGGGAGAGAUCCCCAGCUACCUUGUCAAACUCCGAAUGCACAAGCAUAAGGAACCAGAGUGAGGGUGCCGGAGUAAGUUUGGCAUCCGAAAGGGGAACAACCCAGCCUGAAGUUAAGGUCCCUAAAUACUGGCUAAGUGUCGAAGGUGGUCUUACCUCUAAAACAGUGGGGAGGUUGGCUUAGAAGCAGCCAUCCUUUAAACAACGCGUAAUAGCGGACCCACCGAGAGGUAGGGCGCUGAAGAUGGACGGGGCUAAGCCAGUUACCGAUACUUCAGAACCUUGGCUUGGUCAAGGUUGGUAGGAAGGCGCACCGCGGGGGCAGAAGUGCUAUCGUGAGAUGGCAUGGACCCUGUGGUGAUGAGAAUCCUGUCGGGAGUAGCAUACGAGUCAGGUGAAAAUCCUGACCACCUGAAGGACUAGGGUUUCCCAGUAAAGCUUAUCUACUGGGAGUUAGUCGGUCCUAAGGGCUAUCUUAACCGAGAAGCCCGAAAGGGAAACCGGUUAAUAUUCCGGUACUGCUCAUACAACGUUUGUAUCUUGUUUCGGACGUUUUGGGAUAGGCUGAGCACAACCGUCGUUGUGUCUAACUGUAUAAUUCCGGGGAGUGUUGUAAUGACGAGAACCGGAAGAAAGCAGGAAUGGUCUGUCGUAUGACGGAUUCAGCCAAUUCCUAGAACUCGUAAAAACGAAACAAGAGAGAAGUAUGAGCAACCGUACCUAGAACCGACACAGGUGCUCCUCGCCGAAAAGGCGAAGGUGUUCGGGAUAAUCCAUCUUAGGGAAUUCGGCAAAUUAGCCCUGUAUCUUUGGUAGAAGGGGUGCCUGGUCAGCAGUGAUCAGGUCGCAGUGACUAGGGGGACCCGACUGUUUACCAAAAACAUAGCUGACUGCUAAACCGAAAGGUCUUGUAUAGUCAGUGAGUCGUGGCCACUGGCGGUGUGUGAAACCCGGUUUCAACCGGGCUAAGCCCCGUUGUAGGCCGGCCCUAACUCUGAGGGUCUUAAGGUAGCGUAAUCCCUUGCCAAUUAAAUGUUGGCCUGCAUGAUAGAUCAACGAGGUCCCCGCUGUCCCAAGAUGGAACCCGGCGAAACCACCUUUCUGGUGAUUAGGCCAGAGACCUUCAAUGGGAAGAGUAGACCCCAUGGAGCUUUACUGCAGUCUAUUGUUGUUGUAUGGUUGUGAUUGUAUAGCGUAGGUAGGAGACAUAGAAGCUAAGUCGUCAGACUUUGUGGAGUCACCAAUGUAACACUACCCUUUCACGACUAUACGACUAACCGAAGCAAUUCGGGACACCAAUAGGUGGGCAGUUUGACUGGGGCGGUACACCUCUGAAAAAAUAUCAGAGGUGCUCAAAGGUCGGCUCAUCAGGGUCAGAAAUCCUGAUAAGAGUGUAAGGGCAAAAGCCGGCUUGACUGGAUUCUGAAAAGCAAGGAAUCCAGAGGCGAAAGCCUGACCUAGCGAUACGCAUGUUGUCCUGGAUGGACGCAUGUGACGUCAGAAAAGCUACCCUGGGGAUAAUGGUGUCGUGGCGGGUGAGAGUUCAUAUCGACCCCGCGCGUUGCGGCGUCGCUGUCGGCUCGCCCUCUCCUGGCUGUGCAGCAGCAGCCAAGGGUACCGGAGUUCACGGAUCAAAAGGGCACGUUAGCUGGGUUCAGAACGGCGUGAGCCAGUUUGGUCUAUAUCUGUUGAAGGUGUUUCUGCCUGAGAGCAAGGAAGAAUAAGUACGAAAGGAACAUUCUUCCGGAGCCUCUGGUCUACCAGUUGUCUGACAAGGCAAUGCUGGGUAGCUACGCUCCAGCGGAUAAGGGCUGAAAGCAUCUAAGCCCCAAGCCGCACUCAAAAAUAGGCAGUUGGCACCGGUAGACGACCGGUUUGAUAGGGCAGGGGUGUACGAUACAAGCAGCAAUGCG